CCUUGAUGGCGACCGGCGCACGGGUGAGUAACGCGUAUGCAACCUGCCCGAUACCGGGGUAUAGCCCAUGGAAACGUGGAUUAACACCCCAUAGUACUUUUAUCCUGCCUGGGAUGGGAGUUAAAUGUUCAAGGUAUCGGAUGGGCAUGCGUCCUAUUAGUUAGUUGGCGGGGUAACAGCCCACCAAGACGAUGAUAGGUAGGGGUUCUGAGAGGAAGGUCCCCCACAUUGGAACUGAGACACGGUCCAA
RNAcentral lists this ribosomal RNA (250 nucleotides) under uncultured bacterium. RNAcentral describes it as "partial 16S ribosomal RNA". It matches the Rfam family "Bacterial small subunit ribosomal RNA", at positions 83 to 334 of the family's 1533-position model. The record is from RNAcentral.